GGGUCUUCGUCCGGCACCGACCAAUCAGAACUCCAAAACCGAACCUGUCCACACUGCGGAGUGGGCCCAGAUGGGAGGGGCAGCCGUGGCCGCCGCGGGAAGGAAAGGAGACUCCCCACCCAGAGCUCCAGACCCACGUCCAACGGCUUUGUGGCUGCCUCUCCCUGAACAUCCCAGAGGAGAGGGGGCCAGGGGUUGCUACACACCUGGAGAUGGAGUUCUCUGAUGCGAUGUCCUUUGGGGUCCGGACUGUCGUGAAGGUCUCCCCCUCUGACCUUUGUGUUCCCUGCGGCCUUUGCCAGUGACACGGGAGAAGUCCAUCCGGGGAGUCCGAGGUGUGGAGGUGACCGACGAGGGGGGUUCAUCCAGCUCCACGCCCACCCACUGGCCACUGGCGAACUCCGUGGUCCCGCAGAACCGCAGCGUGCCCGUCUGAGGAAACAAGAGAGGAUAUGGCUUGAGGGGCCCCUGGGAGGCCACAAUAGAUCACUGGCACACAUGAGCGUGGUGGGGUGGAUGAGGGACCCCCAGGCUCAACUCCCAGCUCGGACUUGUCCAUUUACUGGCUGUAUGACUUAACCUCACUGUGCCUCAAUGGCCUCAUCUGUGUAAUGGGAACAGAAAUCGCACCCACCUUAUAGGAUUGUUACAGAGCUGCCCUGUCCAAUGCAGUAAAUAGCCACUAGACACAUAUGACAAUUUCAAUUUAAAUUAAUUAAAAUUAAAUUAAAAUUUCAUUUCCCCAGUUGCACUAGCCACAUUUCAAGUACUUAAUAGCCACAUGUGGCCUGUGGCUACUUCACUGGACAGCGCAGACACAGAACAUUUCCAUCAUCUCAGAAAGGUCUAAUGGACAGGCUGUUAUAAAGAAGUGAAAGCCCUCAGAACAGGGCCUGGUGCUGAGUAAGGCAGUAAGUGCUGAGUAUUAUCAUCCGGUAACUUUCGUCAAGGGACUUCCUGGGCCUCAGUUUCCUCUGGAAAAUGGGGUAACAAUCCACUGCAUAGGUUGGUUGUCUGAUUGAAACAUUUUUAAUAUAUGUAAAGUUGCCUAGCUGCAGUGGGUGUGGUUAUCAUCACUGUGUGAGGCUCCUUCACUCUCUGAGCCUCAGUUCCUUGUCUGUCAAUGGGCUAAUUAAUCAUGCCCACGUCAGGGGGGGUGUGGACAUCGGUGCCUGGCCCACAAAGAGUGCUUAGGAGGCACCAGGCCCUGUUCAAAGCGCUGUACACAUUUUAACCAACUUAAACCUCAUACAACCCCCUGAGAUGGGUACUGUUAUUUGCUCCAUU
Long non-coding RNA from Equus quagga, 1287 nucleotides. RefSeq lists it as uncharacterized. The transcript has 4 exons. The record is from RefSeq and is a predicted model, not a curated record. NCBI's taxonomy places the organism in Eukaryota, Metazoa, Chordata, Mammalia, Perissodactyla, Equidae.